This 627-nucleotide ribosomal RNA is filed under the name Microbacterium aurantiacum. RNAcentral's name for it is "partial 16S ribosomal RNA". It matches the Rfam family "Bacterial small subunit ribosomal RNA", at positions 216 to 853 of the family's 1533-position model. Lineage: Bacteria; Bacillati; Actinomycetota; Actinomycetes; Micrococcales; Microbacteriaceae. The record is from RNAcentral.
CGGUCUGGGAUGGGCUCGCGGCCUAUCAGCUUGUUGGUGAGGUAAUGGCUCACCAAGGCGUCGACGGGUAGCCGGCCUGAGAGGGUGACCGGCCACACUGGGACUGAGACACGGCCCAGACUCCUACGGGAGGCAGCAGUGGGGAAUAUUGCACAAUGGGCGGAAGCCUGAUGCAGCAACGCCGCGUGAGGGAUGACGGCCUUCGGGUUGUAAACCUCUUUUAGCAGGGAAGAAGCGAGAGUGACGGUACCUGCAGAAAAAGCGCCGGCUAACUACGUGCCAGCAGCCGCGGUAAUACGUAGGGCGCAAGCGUUAUCCGGAAUUAUUGGGCGUAAAGAGCUCGUAGGCGGUUUGUCGCGUCUGCUGUGAAAUCCCGAGGCUCAACCUCGGGCCUGCAGUGGGUACGGGCAGACUAGAGUGCGGUAGGGGAGAUUGGAAUUCCUGGUGUAGCGGUGGAAUGCGCAGAUAUCAGGAGGAACACCGAUGGCGAAGGCAGAUCUCUGGGCCGUAACUGACGCUGAGGAGCGAAAGGGUGGGGAGCAAACAGGCUUAGAUACCCUGGUAGUCCACCCCGUAAACGUUGGGAACUAGUUGUGGGGACCAUUCCACGGUUUCCGUGACGCAGCU